RNAcentral lists this ribosomal RNA (494 nucleotides) under uncultured bacterium. Its description in RNAcentral is "partial 16S ribosomal RNA". It matches the Rfam family "Bacterial small subunit ribosomal RNA", at positions 29 to 507 of the family's 1533-position model. The record is from RNAcentral.
AUGAACGCUGGCGGCGUGCCUAAUACAUGCAAGUAGAACGCUGAAGGAGGAGCUUGCUCCUCUGGAUGAGUUGCGAACGGGUGAGUAACGCGUAGGUAACCUGCCUGGUAGCGGGGGAUAACUAUUGGAAACGAUAGCUAAUACCGCAUGACAACAGCUAUUGCAUGAUAACUGUUUAAAAGGGGCAACUGCUCCACUACCAGAUGGACCUGCGUUGUAUUAGCUAGUUGGUGAGGUAACGGCUCACCAAGGCGACGAUACAUAGCCGACCUGAGAGGGUGAUCCGCCACACUGGGACUGAGACACGGCCCAGACUCCUACGGGAGGCAGCAGUAGGGAAUCUUCGGGAAUGGACGGAAGACUGACCGAGCAACGCAGCGUGAGUGAAGAAGGGUUUCGGAUCGUAAAGCUCUGUUGUAAGAGAAGAACGAGUGUGAGAGUGGAAAGUUCACACUGUGACGGUAUCUUACCAGAAAGGGACGGCUAACUACGUG